GACAGUGUGGUGUAGUGGUUUGAGCGUUGGGUUACGGCUCUAGAGACCAGAGUUCAAAUCCCUGCUUGGCCU
Phrynosoma platyrhinos (Desert horned lizard) is the source of this 72-nucleotide non-coding RNA. The record is from the annotation of a GenBank genome assembly. NCBI's taxonomy places the organism in Eukaryota, Metazoa, Chordata, Lepidosauria, Squamata, Phrynosomatidae.